RNAcentral lists this ribosomal RNA (504 nucleotides) under uncultured bacterium. RNAcentral describes it as "partial 16S ribosomal RNA". It matches the Rfam family "Bacterial small subunit ribosomal RNA", at positions 29 to 523 of the family's 1533-position model. The record is from RNAcentral.
AUUGAACGCUGGCGGCAGGCCUAACACAUGCAAGUCGGACGGUAGCACAGAGAGCUUGCUCUUGGGUGACGAGUGGCGGACGGGUGAGUAAUGUCUGGGGAUCUGCCCGAUAGAGGGGGAUAACCACUGGAAACGGUGGCUAAUACCGCAUAACGUCGCAAGACCAAAGAGGGGGACCUUCGGGCCUCUCACUAUCGGACGAACCCAGAUGGGAUUAGCUAGUAGGCGGGGUAAUGGCCCACCUAGGCGACGAUCCCUAGCUGGUCUGAGAGGAUGCCACGCCAAACUGGAACUGAGACACGGUCCAGACUCCUACGGGAGGCAGCAGUGGGGAAUAUUGCACAAUGGGCGCAAGCCUGAUGCAGCCAUGCCGCGUGUAUGAAGAAGGCCUUCGGGUUGUAAAGUACUUUCAGCGGGGAGGAAGGCGGUGCGGUUAAUAACCGCGUCGAUUGACGUUACCCGCAGAAGAAGCACCGGCUAACUCCGUGCCAGCAGCCGCCGUAA